RNAcentral lists this ribosomal RNA (274 nucleotides) under uncultured bacterium. RNAcentral describes it as "partial 16S ribosomal RNA". It matches the Rfam family "Bacterial small subunit ribosomal RNA", at positions 523 to 796 of the family's 1533-position model. The record is from RNAcentral.
AUACGGAGGGUGCAAGCGUUAAUCGGAAUUACUGGGCGCAAAGCGUGCGUAGGUGGUUUGUUAAGUCAGAUGUAAAAGCCCCGGGCUCAACCUGGGAACUGCAUUUGAAGCUGGCAUACUAGAGUAUAGGAGAGGAAAGUGGAAUUUCAGGUGUAGCGGUGAAAUGCGUAGAUAUCUGAAGGAACAUCAAUGGCGAAGGCAGCUUUCUGGACUAAUACUGACACUGAGGUACGAAAGCGUGGGUAGCAAACAGGAUUAGAAACCCUAGUAGUCC